Molecule: long non-coding RNA, 10143 nt
Organism: Gallus gallus (chicken)
Lineage: Eukaryota; Metazoa; Chordata; Aves; Galliformes; Phasianidae
Exons: 3
Source: RefSeq, a predicted model, not a curated record
ACUCUGAAAGGAUCUCUGGUUGGAGGUCCCUCCUUUGUGGAGUUGCCCUUAUGAGCCUAGAUCUUCAGAGACAGCACUGCAUGAGAACCCAUGGUUUUGGAAAACGCAGGGUCUGGCUCCAGCCAAUAUCAUAUUGCUUUAUGACCCAAGCAUUUCAAAAAAGCUCUUCUAGAGAAGAGAUGAACUCAAAAUCUCUUCCAGUAGCAAGGGCAUGAAACUAUACGCUCCCUAUAUCUCAGCAUCUGUAACAUACAGCAAGCAGCAAGGAAGUCCAGACAUGGAGGACGGAAAGUGAAAACAAGCCACCCAACCUGAUAAUGAAAAGCAGGCACUUGGCCUUGGUGUGGAGCAUCUCAGAUAAGUAGUUUAAUUGCCAAGCUCUGAUGCUGGAGGGAGGGAAAUCUAAGCUAAAUUAAAAGAUUAAAAAGAUAUUUUUUCAUCAAGUGGCAAAAUGGAAGAUGUGGAUGAGUCUGCUCGGGAGAAAAUGAGCAGAAAGGAACUGUGAAUGUUGUGAAAAUAUAUCCAUUAGACCUGCCUUAUCGAAACGUGCUUUUGCCAAGCAUCCAGCCCUGCAUCGCCAUGGCAACAUGGCCUCAUCAACAGAGAAGAAAGUGUUUUUGUCAGGAUGGGCCCAAACACGUAAAAGCCAUUUCGAUUUGGGGGCAACACGAUCUUCUUCAAUCAAUACAGCACACAUAAUAAUGAUUCCUGCCACUUUUUUUCAUAAAUCUCCACUUUCUGCUUUCAUUUCCUGUGGUUUGACAUCACUGUGAACUGGAACCAGGUUUAAAUUUCCUACAAUUUUCAGCCCCCUCUGCCCUCAUCUACAACACACCAUGCCUCAUGCAGCAGCUUUCUCCUUUGCGCAGCACUCGAUGCGCAAUGCGCUUACAGGUGAGAUUAGCCUGACCUGAACUGUGAGAUGGGCUUUUGGGAAUCCCCAGUGGCACCACUACAGAUGUGAAGGCUGAAACUGUGGUCAUGGCUGAGACGUGGGCUGGCCAAACAUGGGAUGGUGUAUCCUUCUCUCAAGGAGUUAACCAAGGGCUAAUUACACCGGGACUGUGGGAUAGCACACAAAAGAGAGACUGCAAGUGCCUUUCUCUAGAUGCUGUGUGAGUAAAGCCAUGCAAAACCCCCAGCUUUGCUCAGCAAGGUCUGCCUGUCCAGUUCAGUCUAAUCCGGGAGAAGAUCCCUCAUCAUGCUGGUUUAAUGGGCUAAUCUCCACCUCUGCACUGUGCCUCGUGUCCUCCCCAAACCGCUGGGUUACUGUGUCCCUGUGGCUUCCUGCAGGGGCAUUAUGGUCUGCUGCAACUAAACCCCGAGAAACAGUGCCCUGGCUUUUGGGAAUAGCUCCACUGGCAGCAAAGUGGAAGAGGGAAGAGAGACUUAUUCAGUUUCUCAAGAAAGUGGGUGUGUUAAAUGUUGUGACUGUUUAAAGACUCACUGCAACUGUGGCGAUAAACAAUGUAUAGUCAUAGAAACUAACUAAACAGAAGUCUCUAAAUCCCAGACAGAGGAGUGAGAGCUCAGGACUGCUUGUUGGCAAGUGCUUCUCCUUUGUUGCUAUGCAAAAGGUGAAAAACUCAACUUGUUCUGCUGAAAACUCUGUUUUUCUUGCAAGACAGAUUGCCUCAGGUGUGUAUGAGAGGCAGCAGGGUGCAAUCCCAAACCUGUGAUGUGUGUGUACUGUGCUGCAUGGGGUUUGGUGCUGCACACAGCUCAAGCAGCCGGUGCAUGAGCUCAGUGACCACCCUGAGGAUGUCUCAGCUCAUAGCCACCAACAGCUGGAGGAGGAGGACGGAGCCACCAAUAUGGCCAUGGCCCUGAGAACAUCCAGGCAGGAUGGAUUCCAUCGUACUGCAUUGGGCUGCUGGGGUGAUGGAGCUCAGUGAGCACCCUGGGAACAGCUGCCAGCAGUUGGGUUAAAGGCAGUGUGUAUGUGCCACCUCCCAUGGUCCUUACCCAGGCAGACUGAGCAGCUUAUUACUGCUAUCCGUCUCUGUCAUUAGCCCAAGUGACAGAGGUCAAUGUGUUGGAUCGAAAGGCUUUCAGCAUGCCAUUGACCCAAGACUGGGAGAGGGAGGCAAAACGGUGUUAAAUGAUGGAAUUUCUGGGGUUUAGUAUUUUUUAUUUUUAUUUUUAAUGAUGGAACUGCUAUGUUCACAACUAUUUUAGAAGCACCAUUAGCAUGGCAGGAGCUGCUCCUCAUGCCCAGAGGUGACUGUGCGCUGCACCCACCUCCAACACUGUGCCCACCCACAGCACUGCAUUGCCUGACCUCUUCUCCAAGGAGCACCAUUCCCAUGUUUUGUUUCCUCUUGUGCUCAGUUUGUGGCCCAGUGCCUUCCUUACUGCUCUCACACUGCUAUGCUUAAUACCAGUUAUAAAUUUCCUCAUGGGCUUCUUCCCUUCAGUGCUCCUCCCCUUAGUGUCCAAGUGCCUCUCAGAGAUUAAAUUACCCCCCUGCAUUUGUAUGCAUCUUUAGUGGGGCUGCAGGGAGAGCCUCCAGCACAGGGUCCAUCCAGGGAGGGGCUGAGCACCAUUUUCUCCCCCUGCUCUCGAGAUGCUGAGUAAUGCAGCGAAUCAGAUUUUGAGAGGCAUUGUGUUUGCUGCUCUCCCUGUGUUCAGCCUCCUUCUUGGUUAUGAAUGAAUAUAGAAUUUGGGGGGAACAAAUGAGUGCAAUCUUGUUCCAUAGAUCUUUAUUCUGCCCUAAUCUUUGUGAAUCUUCAUUCUGCUCUGCUUUCAUUACUUUUUUUUUUCUUUAAUACAGAUUUCUUUCUUUUCAUCCUGUCUUCUUUUUUCUAUUUUUUUUUUGUCUUUAUCUUUCUUUUCUUCUGCUGCCCUCCCAGCUUUUCAUUACUGUCAUCUUUUUUCCCAGCCACUGAACCCUUGAUGUUGUUCUAAUUGACAGACGGGGUUUAAAAGCACAUACGAAAGCGCCUGUCUUUUUAAAUAGACUCCUGUCUCAUCAAAAGAUGUACAGCAACAUUCCAUUAGAGCACAUCAUUUGAAAAUAGAUUGGGCUUUUAGCAACCGCACUUAUAUUUUUAUAGUUAGGCUGUUCUUCUGGGAUCUUCCCUCCUCCUUGCUCCUGUUUUGGGGAGGGCACGGGGGAAAAGAUACCUUAAAGAGAGAUUAAUGACUGUUUUGUUGUGUUUGGGUUUUCUGCAGUUCUCAUGUGCUUGUUCAGUCUGUUCGCUUCUCACAGCCACGGUUUUGGAGAAAGAUUUGGAGUGAAAAUGAGGACAGAAAAUACAUAUGUGCUGAAAGGAGUCAGGACAAGGCAGGAAGGCAGCAAGGUAGCAGCUCCUGUUGCACUGCAUUGUCAGUGUUUAAUGAAAGGAGAUCCAGCCAUGACUUUCCACGUAUAAAGAGCACUUAGGUCCUGCUCGGCACCAAAGCAAACCAAAAAGACAAGAGAUGGAUCUGCCCCAGGCAUGUCCAGGUGAGCUUCUAGAGCACUUCUCCUUCCUGCCCACAUGUCUACCAACAAGGUUAGGGUUAGGGUUAGGGUUAGGGUCAGUCUUCCAUAUAUUGCUGUCCUCUACAUGCAGCUGCCCGUUCUGAUGCAGCAAGCUGAAGUGAAUAUGAGGGCUCCACAGAACAAUGCAGCCUUUCUUUUUUUCUCCAAGCUGCAGGUACUGCAGUAAUAAAAUGGAACGCUGACAAUGAGGGAGUCUUAACUUGUUUCUGGCACUUGGUGCAAGGGAUGCUGAUUGCUGAAAUUCUAGGUUGGUUGGGUCAAAGUAAUCAGAAGUUGUUUUGCUGUUGUGAGGCCAGUGUAGAACUGGGCCAGGCAAAUCCCCCACAGAAUGGGACAGAAACUCAGCGGGUGUCUCUCUCUGGAAGAAGUGCAUUUGAAGCUCCAGUUUCUCAAAACCCCACUGAGGGAAAGAAAAAUGGCCAAUUCUCUCUUGCGGCUCAGAUGGAUACAUAAGAUAUUUAUUUACUCUUCGUCCAUGCCCCAGAUAUCUGCCCCCAUACACUGUCCUUUCAGCCAGGAGCCAACCUGCUCACAGCUCCUCCAUAUUUCACCCAGGUCUCUCAAUGGAAAACAUCACUCACCUUAAGGACUGCGCUGUCUUCUCCUUCCUAAGCUUAGGGAAGCAAAUUCAUUCCUGUUCUAAACUCGGCAUUGAUGAGUAGUUGGGACUGAAUCAUCCCCAAUCUCCCCUCCUUGAUUUAUCGUCUCUUGCUAUGCUGCUAUUAAGUCUCAGAGAGAAACAACAGGUACACUUUCCAGCCCCCUCAAAGCAAGAGCUCACUGCUCCUUUUUUGUUUUCCAUGUUCCAGUUUCAUGUGUAAUAGUGAUAAUAUCUGUCGCUUUGUUGGAUCUUCACAAUAAAUGGCUUCUCAGAUUGAUUAAAACCUCUCCGCUCAGCUUGGGCUGUGCAUUGAUUUUAGCUGCUGCUCCUUGCUUUGUGUAUGGCACAUCGUAGAAAUCAGAGAUGGAAAAAACCUAUUAGGGAUCAACUUGUUUCCCACCUCCCCUUGGUUCCCUGGGGGAUGGCAGGAGAUUGUUCAUUACAAAGUAUUUAUGGUAACUUUUCCCAGUCCCUUCUCAAUUGGCCCUGAUACCAUGCAAGACCAACUACACCUAAUUGUAACCCUGGCAUUAGCAACCAGCCCCUGGUUCCUGGCCUGUUGCUCCUCUCCACUCAGCACAGAAUGUCUCUCUGGAGCACUCUAAUUAAAGAUGCUUCCUUGGGGCUCCCUCCUCUCAAAGGAAGACGCAAACAAGCCUGGCUUUGAAGUGAAUGGGUGUUUCUCUCACACUCAGGAAGGAUGCCUGGGUUCACACAUGGAGCAUCCCCACCCUCCCUUUCCUUUCACACUAACCUUUGGAGGACCAGUUUUCCUGCAGAGGUGAAUGAGCGGUUUCAGAAGGAUUCUCUUGUUGAUGACAGGACUGUUGACACCAGUCCAUCCUCUGAGCCUUGAUUUCUCUCGAACUGUUCCUCUCUGAAGCUGUCUGAUUGCAGGUAUUUCCAUUACCCUAAUUCUCAGAAGCUCAAACCUUUAUUUUAAGGCACUGGCAUGAAGGUUGUUCUCCUAUUUUCUGUCUCCCAGCCUGACACUCAGCCACUCGAUGGACCUCUCGGAGGAGUCAAAAGGAAAACAGAGACUAAAGAGAAAACGGGCACUGGCUGUGUCCACACUGGGGUGGGAACACUGAGAUCCUCUACUGAGUCCUUGGCUGUACACUCUGGAGACCUACUGAAGGGAAGGGUGGCCCUGUGCUGCCUGGGACCCAGGUUCCUUCUUCAGGUCUUGGCUUGGGAUGUGGAUUCAGGAGGUAGCGUGGGCCCUGGAGAUUGGGCCCAUGGAGAAGGGAAAUAAUUUCAGUGGAGUAACUGAUUUGUACGUGGAGCAGCAAUUCCCCAGAGAGGCAAGGAGCUGUGGCUGGAGAGAUAGCAGGCAAGCAUUCUCCCAAGGCUAUUUAUUCAUCUUAUUUCCAGAUUAAUACUCAGACCUUCAUGCUUGCUAUGCUUGCUGCCUUUCUAAGUCGGCUCUGUUAAAACUGGCAUUUCUGUGUGUUGAAAUAGGAAAGGGGGGAGAACAGGGGAGGAGGACAGUCAUAUUUCCGGGCUUGUUUGGUGAGCACACUUUGUGUUUCACCUGACACCACUGCCCUUCCUGCUGCAAAGCUGCCCUCCAAAAUCCUGCUGUGCUGAGCUGCUCAAAGCCUUAAGCAGCGUAACCAAUUCCUUCGCCUGAAAACUACACUGUAAGACCUGCUCCAACAAAGGAGGUAGAUCUGAAUGGAUGGAUAUGAAUGUACACCAGCAGAAUGAAUCUAUCAGGGACAGCUGCUGAACGAGGUCCAACCAUUUCGGCAGCCUCCCUCCAGGUGACAAGAAGGGAAUGUUUGGUGCUUUUCCUUCCUUGCGUGGGUGAGCUGCACAUGAAAGCAGAGUGGGUGCAGGAGGAGUGUGGGUAUGGUGGAGACUUCGGCGGUAUUGCUCUACUAUAGCAGCAGGAGAGUAAAACUUUAUCUCACUGUGCAUAGGUUAACAUGUGUGAAACCACUGUGUUCAGGUGCAGCCCAUUAUCUCUUAAAAUGUUUGAAGAAUGUGGUAAAAUUCCCUCAAGCCUUUCUUUCAGGCCACGUCUGCAUGGCUUAUUUAGGUCUCGUGCUCUUGGCUGAUAGCCUGUUUACCAAUGAUAGUUUCAAAAAAUAACUGCAGAUUUUACAAUUAUUCUUAUCAUUUCAGAAACACCCACCUCAUUCCCCAUUAAAUACUUCCACCUCUGGCUACGCAAAGUGUUGCUACAAUGCUCAGUGCAAUGGAAGGCAGUUAAAUCAGCAGUGAGCAGAGAGGACUGAGCCAUCCAAGAUAUGCAAAGUGGAAAUGAGAGAGACUUCGGGGCAGAUGACCACUGACAAAAUGGGGAGGACACUUCUGGAAGGCGAUGGGAGCUGGGAAUCAAUUUUUUUCAUAGUUCUCAUUCGCUAUAGGCUACAUUCACAUGAGAAAAUUGAUAACUUAGACUGCAUCUGGGAGGUAGGACACUUGGUAGCUCUGUCAGUCACUGGUUGGCUAUAUGACUUGAGGCACUCAGCCGUCACAAAUUUCUCUUCUACUUUCCUACAAGAAAGAAGGCAGUGGGAGGCUAUAAAGCACGUUGGGAUCCUCAGAUGAAAAACACCAGCAAAUCAGAGCUGGACUUGGUCUCUCUGAUGGUAUAUCAAGAAUAAUUACAGUUACAUCAAAGGUUUUCAGCUGGUUUGCAGGCAAUCUUAAUUUUUGUUUUUAAUUUUUUAUUUUUUAAUUUUUUUUUUUUGGCACUUCUCCAAAAUAAAUCCCUUUUUGAUAGAGAUGUUUCCUUCCAAGUAAUUUUUCUAGCUUUUGUAUUGUGUUUUCUUCCACAAGUUAAAAAGAAAAAAAAAGUAAUGCCAUCGAUACCUACCUGGAUUGGAAAAUUGGAAAUUUGAGAUUCACUUGACAUAACCCCUGCCCCAAAGCUAUCAUAGUUAUUGAUAGCUGUAUAGUUACUGUCUUUACUGGAAGCCUCUGAUUUUACUUCUGUUUCAAUUAAAGUUUCCUUAGGAAGCCUUAGGUUUCCCUUCUCAUUCCAGCUUCCCAAGGGCUCUGGUCUCAAUUUCCCAUUUUCUCCAUUUCUUGUCCUGCUUGCUCUUACGGUCUCAGGACCAAGAGGCUAAGCCAUGCCCAGACCCAUUUUUUAGGUAUUUUAACAACUGAGCUACAAGACAUUCCCAGCCAAGACUGGUACACAGAGACUCUUAGAUUUUUUCCAGUUAUGUGUGGAUUUAUACCUACAUGUCCUUCCAUCAUCCUCCUGUCAAAAUUUGAAACCUACCCACCAAAAUUUUAAGGAAUGAGAACUUGGGUUUGACCCUAGUUUUAGGUUUGCAACAAAAUCCACCUCAGGCCCCGGUUCUCUCUGUUAAUAGCAUUUAUCAUGCUGUGGCGGACACCAAGCAGAUAAAUCAGCAGGACCCCUUCCUAGGACUGAACAGCAUUAAACCUUUAUGUCACUGUGCGAUCCUUAGGUGGACAGUGAUAUAUGUAAAGUGAGAAGUCUUGCUCCAACAGAGCAAAGUCGAAGGUCUGUGUUUGAUCUUCAGCAAUAAUUACAGAGGAGGACUUUGCUCCUAGCUGGACCUAGAACUACUUUCAUGAAAUUUAGUUCAUCACAAUUUAGACAUGAAGACCUAUUGGAAGAUCAAAUUUUGCAUGUAAUGCCCUACUCUGUCAGUAACAUAUUUGCCAUAAAGUUAAACAAGAAGGUUAAGAAAGAGCUCCUAUUUCUAGGUAACUACGCAGGCAUAAAAAAUAAUAAUUUAGUGGAUUUGGACAGGAUAUUUUUUCCUUUUCAUUCACUUGGCUCUAAAGCAGCCUCAGCUUAAGAAAUUAAAUUUGACAGGCGAUUAGCCCAUAAUGUGGUGCAAUCUCUUCUGGUAUUUGAAGGAAAAAUUGAAAACAGACUAGGUGUUUAACUUUGAAAUGUCUGCCUUGGAUGUGAUGGGCAGGAACUUUAGUUUUUUGGCACCAAGAGCUGGGUGACUCGUGGAACGAACUGAUCUCAUGCCCACAGGCAAGAUAGGGUAGGUGAGGCCAGCUGUGAAUAUACAGCAGUAACCAGCAUGGGUUUGCUUUUACCUACUGGGAAGUUUAUUGCUAUUCCACUGUUUGUUAAGGAAACUCAAUUUUUUCAGUGAGUCAAAGUAUAAGUCUGUUCCUUUCAUUAUUCUCACAUAGCUUCUGCCCCAAAUGCUUCUUUUCCAGCAGAGAGCCUGAGAUGGGCAGAUGUGGAACUAGAUUCUGAAUUGUGGCUUAUAUAUGUAUGUUCCCACAUUGUUCCAGUACAGCUUUGGAGUUUCCACAUGAACUCCCAUGCCUGUGAAUUAAAAAGGAAAGGCAUGCAGGUAGCUAUGAAAUGAUGUCAGAUUCACUUGCCAGGUCUCCCAGGCAAGGGGAUAUGUCAGCUAUGCCUUGGGGAAGGAUAGCUCUGCUGGCUGUGCAGUGCCCUUCCCCUGAUGUACCACAGGCAUUGGAGAGUCAUCUCUAGCACAUCCUGGUCUCUCUUUUUCCAUCUGUUCCUCUUUCUCAUGAAGAAAUGACUUUUGAUGGCCAUAACUGACAUAAACCUCAACACUGCAAGCAUCUGUGAAUGUUUUCAUGAAGCAUGAGUUGGCCUGUUGAGAAAACCAUCCAGUGCUCUCCACAACAGAGUCUUCCUGUGAAGAAAGAGGAGACUGUUUUCAGUGUAAAGUCAUUCCUCAGCAGCACUCCUGGGGCAGUCUGGGCUAGGGAAACAUUAAAUGAUAUCCAGCACAUGUGAUACCCUUUGUCACAUAGAUGAAAUCCAUGAACUUGGAGAGAGCUCAACAGUAACAACGCCCUUUAUCUAUUAAGAGAGGAGAGCUUAGGUCUCUUAUCUCUUCAGGCACUCACGCCAAGUAAAAGCUGGAAUGGGUCUUCACCUCUUAGAGUUUUCAGUUUCUCGUCUUUUGGCUCGAAAACACCAAGGAAGGGAGAGAAGAGCUUUUCAAUGUGCUUGGGACCGACUCCAGGUGGGAGCAGUAGGGACUAUUUUAUUGCUUUCAGUUGAUAGCCCUCCCUCCCUGCUCUCCUCUGGGCUGCCUACAGCCCCCAUUGCCCUCCUGGGGCACUGCACUGCAUUGCAAGGAACACUCUCCAUCUCUAGCAUUAAUUCCUGACUGCAAGCAUUUGGCAUUUGGUAUAAACUGCUUGCGGCCAGCAAGAACCAAGCUGCUGCCAGAAGACUUCGCAUUGCUUGAGAAGAGGGAAGGAGGAACCCACGCAACACCUGAGUCCUAACCACCUCAAUGAGAAAGCAUCAAUUAACCUCAUUUGCCAGCUGGACCUGUCCUAGGGCGCCCUUGCGGGGACACUGUGCCUUGAGCAGAUUGAUGCUCCUAUUAGGCAGAUGGGAAGUGAGGGGACAGUCUGAUGAGCUCUUUAACUUUUACUGACUUCCCUAUACCAACCUCUUAGCUAUUUUAAUUCCCUUUUGAAGGCAAUAAAGGGAGGGCUUUUAGCUCACCAGGCUCAUCUGAAAUGUCUCAGUGAAGUGACUGAAACUCUAUCUUAAUAUUCCCUGCGACUGCCAGUUCCAGUGGCUAGUUUCUGACUUUCAUGGCUCUUGGGUUUCUUUCUAUAUAGUAAAUAUAUAUAGCAUUUCUUGGUUACUUUUUGCGUGCUUGUUUCUUCUCUAGCACAACAGACAGACAGAUGGCUGUGACUGUUCUGCUAGGCCAAAGAAUUCUUGGCCAGAUUCCUCAGAUGAAUAAUAUGGUGAUAACUUAGUGGUGUUUCCUCACUGCUCCAGUGCUGAGCGGGGAGACAAAAUUAGAGGGAUAUAUCAAGGAGUAGAGGAAGGGGAAAUUCAGAUAAUGACAAGGUCGGGGAAAUAUUAGCAGCAAGGAAGACUUUUGGCAGGGUUUUGCUUCGAGUAACCUCGGCUGGGCUCAGCCUGACUUCUUGAAAGUUUUAAAACAACAGCAAGAAAAAAAUGCAACUCAGCACACAAAUGUGUCCAGACAUCUUUCUUUCUUAAAAUGCCAUUACAAAUGGGGAGUGCAAAAGCAGCUUAGAGCUGGCAUUUCAAAGGGGGCUGGGGGUGGAGAGAAAUUGCAAGGUAAACAGGACA